CCUACGGGUGGCAGCAGUGAGGAAUAUUGGUCAAUGGACGAGAGUCUGAACCAGCCAAGUAGCGUGAAGGAUGACUGCCCUAUGGGUUGUAAACUUCUUUUAUAUGGGAAUAAAACGUUCCACGUGUGGGAUUUUGUAUGUACCAUAUGAAUAAGGAUCGACUAACUCCGUGCCAGCAGCCGCGGUAAUACGGAGGAUCCGAGCGUUAUCCGGAUUUAUUGGGUUUAAAGGGAGCGUAGGUGGAUUGUUAAGUCAGUUGUGAAAGUUUGCGGCUCAACCGUAAAAUUGCAGUUGAAACUGGCAGUCUUGAGUACAGUAGAGGUGGGCGGAAUUCGUGGUGUAGCGGUGAAAUGCUUAGAUAUCACGAAGAACUCCGAUUGCGAAGGCAGUUCACUGGACUGCAACUGACACUGAGGCUCGAAAGUGUGGGUAUCAAACAGGAUUAGAUACCCUUGUAGUC
RNAcentral lists this ribosomal RNA (460 nucleotides) under uncultured bacterium. RNAcentral describes it as "partial 16S ribosomal RNA". It matches the Rfam family "Bacterial small subunit ribosomal RNA", at positions 338 to 795 of the family's 1533-position model. The record is from RNAcentral.